RNAcentral lists this ribosomal RNA (468 nucleotides) under uncultured bacterium. RNAcentral's name for it is "partial 16S ribosomal RNA". It matches the Rfam family "Bacterial small subunit ribosomal RNA", at positions 28 to 507 of the family's 1533-position model. The record is from RNAcentral.
GACGAACGCUGGCGGCGUGCUUAACACAUGCAAGUCGAACGGAAAGGCCCUGCUUUUGUGGGGUGCUCGAGUGGCGAACGGGUGAGUAACACGUGAGUAACCUGCCCUUGACUUUGGGAUAACUUCAGGAAACUGGGGCUAAUACCGGAUAGGAGCUCCUGCUGCAUGGUGGGGGUUGGAAAGUUUCGGCGGUUGGGGAUGGACUCGCGGCUUAUCAGCUUGUUGGUGGGGUAGUGGCUUACCAAGGCUUUGACGGGUAGCCGGCCUGAGAGGGUUACCGGCCACAUUGGGACUGAGAGACGGCCCAGACUCCUACGGGAGGCAACAGUGGGGAAUAUUGCACAAUGGGCGGAAGCCUGAUGCAGCAACGCCGCGUGCGGGAUGACGGCCUUCGGGUUGUAAACCGCUUUCGCCUGUGACGAAGCGUGAGUGACGGUAAUGGGUAAAGAAGCACCGGCUAACUACGUG